Molecule: microRNA precursor, 189 nt
Filed under: Oryza brachyantha (malo sina)
Lineage: Eukaryota; Viridiplantae; Streptophyta; Magnoliopsida; Poales; Poaceae
Description: MIR812 microRNA precursor family
Rfam family: MIR812 microRNA precursor family
Source: Rfam by way of RNAcentral
AAUAAGCUAAUCUUUCAUUUUUUUACCUAUAAUGUUUAACUCUUCGUCUUAUUUAAAAUUUUUUAUGAUUAAAAUUUUUUAUUAGAUGAUAAAUUAUAAAUAGUAUUUUACGUAUGACUAAUUUUUUCUAAAUUUUUAGAAAAAUUUUCAAAUAAGACGGAUUGUCGAAUACUAGACACGUAAACCUAC